GUUACUGCUAUCGGUGUUCGACUAAGCCAUGCGAGUCAAAUGUUCUUCGUGAACAUGGCGGACUGCUCAGUAACACGUGGAUAACCUGCCCUUAGGUUUGGCAUAACUCCGGGAAACUGGAGAUAAUUCCGAAUAGGUCAAAUAUGCUGGAAUGCUUUUUGGCCAAAAGACUUCGGUUGCCUAAGGAUGGAUCUGCGGUCUAUCAGGUUGUAGUGGGUGUAACGUACCUACUAGCCUACGACGGAUAUGGGUUGUGAGAGCAAGAGCCCAGAGAUGGAUUCUGAGACAUGAAUCCAGGCCCUACGGGGCGCAGCAGGCGCGAAAACUUUACAAUGCGGGAAACCGCGAUAAGGGGACACCGAGUGCCAGCAUUUAUGUUGGCUGUCCACAUGUGUAAACGGCAUGUGUUAGCAAGGGCCGGGCAAGACCGGUGCCAGCCGCCGCGGUAACACCGGCGGCCCGAGUGGUAAUCACUUUUAUUGGGUCUAAAGGGUCCGUAGCCGGUUUGAUCAGUUCUUCGGGAAAUCUGACAGCUCAACUGUUAGGCUUCCGGGGAAUACUGUCAGACUUGGGACCGGGAGAGGUAAGAGGUACUACAGGGGUAGGAGUGAAAUCUUGUAAUCCCUGUGGGACCACCAGUGGCGAAGGCGUCUUACCAGAACGGGUCCGACGGUGAGGGACGAAAGCUGGGGGCACGAACCGGAUUAGAUACCCGGGUAGUCCCAGCCGUAAACGAUGUUCGCUAGGUGUCAGGGGCGGUGCGACCGCUUCUGGUGCCGUAGGGAAGCCGUGAAGCGAACCACCUGGGAAGUACGGCCGCAAGACUGAAACUUAAAGGAAUUGGCGGGGGAGCACUACAACGGGUGGAGCCUGCGGUUUAAUUGGACUCAACGCCGGAAAACUCACCGGGGGCGACAGCAAAAUGUAGGUCAAGCUAAAGACUUUACCUGAAUCGCUGAGAGGAGGUGCAUGGCCGUCGUCAGUUCGUACUGUGAAGCAUCCUGUUAAGUCAGG
Molecule: ribosomal RNA, 1014 nt
Filed under: uncultured Methanococcoides sp.
Lineage: Archaea; Methanobacteriati; Methanobacteriota; Methanomicrobia; Methanosarcinales; Methanosarcinaceae
Description: bacterial SSU rRNA
Rfam family: Archaeal small subunit ribosomal RNA
Source: RNAcentral